ACACGUGGUUAACCUGCCCUUAGGUCGAGAAUACACUCGGGAAACUGAGGAUAAAGCUCGAUAGAAGAUGAUUUCUGGAAUGAGUUAUCUUUGAAAUUCGAGCCUAAGGAUGGGACUGCGGCUGAUUAGGUAGUUGUUGAGGUAAGAGCUCAACAAGCCAAUGAUCAGUAAGGGCUCUUAGCGGAGGUGCCCUGAGAAGGACUCUUAGACACUAGUCCUAGCCCUACGGGGUGCAGCAGUCGGGAAUUUUCUGCAAUGCGCGAAAGCGUGACAGAGUGAACCAAAGUGUUUCUUUUUUAAAGAAACUUUUGCCAGCUGUAAAAAGGCUGGCGAAUAAGGACUGGGCAAGACCGGUGCCAGCCGCCGCGGUAAUCCCGGCAGUCCAAGUCGCAGCCACAAUUAUUGGGUCUAAAAUAUCCGUAGCUUGCUUGAGAAGUCUCUCGUGAAAUCUUAAAUCUUAAGUUUAAGGCGAGCAAGAGAUACUCUUGAGCUGGAGACCGGCAGGCGUAAAAAGUACAUUGGGAGUAGUGGUAAAAUAUUUUAAUCCUCGAUGGACUCACAGUCGCGAAGGCGUUUUACGAGGACGGUUCUGACAGUGAGGGAUGAAGGCUAGGGGCGCAAAAGGGAUUAGAUACCCCUGUAGUCCUAGCAGUAAACACUGCGCACUAAACAUUAGUACCUCCUCGAG
This 688-nucleotide ribosomal RNA is filed under the name uncultured archaeon. RNAcentral describes it as "bacterial SSU rRNA". It matches the Rfam family "Archaeal small subunit ribosomal RNA", at positions 96 to 789 of the family's 1478-position model. The record is from RNAcentral.